AACGCUAGCUACAGGCUUAACACAUGCAAGUCGAGGGGCAGCAUGAUUGAAGCUUGCUUCAAUUGAUGGCGACCGGCGCACGGGUGAGUAACACGUAUCCAACCUUCCGUACACUCAGGGAUAGCCUUUCGAAAGAAAGAUUAAUACCUGAUGGUAUCUUAAGUACACAUGUAAUUAAGAUUAAAGAUUUAUCGGUGUACGAUGGGGAUGCGUUCCAUUAGGUAGUAGGCGGGGUAACGGCCCACCUAGCCUACGAUGGAUAGGGGUUCUGAGAGGAAGGUCCCCCACAUUGGAACUGAGACACGGUCCAAACUCCUACGGGAGGCAGCAGUGAGGAAUAUUGGUCAAUGGACGAGAGUCUGAACCAGCCAAGUAGCGUGAAGGAUGAAGGUCCUACGGAUUGUAAACUUCUUUUAUAAGGGAAUAAAACCUCCCACGUGUGGGAGCUUGUAUGUACCUUAUGAAUAAGCAUCGGCUAACUCCGUGCCAGCAGCCGCGGUAAUACGGAGGAUGCGAGCGUUAUCCGGAUUUAUUGGGUUUAAAGGGAGCGCAGACGGGUCGUUAAGUCAGCUGUGAAAGUUUGGGGCUCAACCUUAAAAUUGCAGUUGAUACUGGCGUCCUUGAGUGCGGUUGAGGUGUGCGGAAUUCGUGGUGUAGCGGUGAAAUGCUUAGAUAUCACGAAGAACUCCGAUUG
Molecule: ribosomal RNA, 694 nt
Filed under: uncultured bacterium
Lineage: Bacteria
Description: bacterial SSU rRNA
Rfam family: Bacterial small subunit ribosomal RNA
Source: RNAcentral